CAGAAAUGCAAGAAUCAAAAAAAUCCUGUCAUGUUCAGAAUAUUUUUUCCUUGACUCACAGGUAUGAAGUAAAGGAACAUUACCAACGUGCCCCACCCACAAGAUUUAACUGAAAGAACCUCUACAACUUAGAGUCCGUUGAAUUCUAAUAUGUGAUUAUACUCUCUAUUGGAGCUGGGGGUUCAGCAGGAGGAACAGUGUCAAAACAACACCCUACUCCCACUCCUGGGCUGUUGCUGAAUUCAUGAAUAUUGUAGAAGCAUUUUAUCCUGAUAAAAAAGAGAAUGAAUGGAUCAAAUAAAAGCACUGAGUAGGAAAAGCUGUCCUCUAAGCCAUUCCCAGUGGGAGGAGAAAAAUAUAGAGAAGACUGCAGAAGGUUUAAGAGCAUAUCUUUAGGAAGAAAGAGAAAGUCUUGCCUUAGUCCAAGUGCGUUUCAAUCAGAUAUCAGUUGUUUAAAGCCUUGCUGCCUUCUUCAGUCCUCUUUGUCUUCUGCUGGAAGCAGUCAUCUGAGGAAUUGCCUGGGGACAUGAGUUUCUUCUACAGUCACUGGCAUCAGGAUGGAUUGGCUACUUGAUAAGCAGAGCCACAAGUGUGAUUUAGGAACAUAGCCAAGAUGUGCUGCAGUAAAACCUUGUUCAGUCUAAUAUACAUUUCAAAGAAUGAUGUUGGAAGGAACAGAAGAUCAGGUCAGCUGUAGCUCCAGUUAGCUCAGAAUUGGAAAACUCCAGGGAUAUAA
Molecule: long non-coding RNA, 736 nt
Filed under: Coturnix japonica (Japanese quail)
Lineage: Eukaryota; Metazoa; Chordata; Aves; Galliformes; Phasianidae
Description: lncRNA (ENSCJPG00005000970.1)
Source: RNAcentral